GACGAACCGUGCAAACGUUGUUCGGAAUCACUGGGCUUAAAGGGCGCGUAGGCGGGCAGACAAGUCAGGGGUGAAAUCUUUCGGCUUAACCGGAAAAUAGCUUUUGAUACUGUCUGUCUCGAGGGAGGUAGGGGCAUGUGGAACUUCCGGUGGAGCGGUGAAAUGUGUUGAUAUCGGAAGGAACUCCGGUGGCGAAAGCGACGUGCUGGACCUCUUCUGACGCUGAGGCGCGAAAGCUAGGGGAGCAAACGGG
RNAcentral lists this ribosomal RNA (253 nucleotides) under uncultured bacterium. Its description in RNAcentral is "partial 16S ribosomal RNA". It matches the Rfam family "Bacterial small subunit ribosomal RNA", at positions 524 to 776 of the family's 1533-position model. The record is from RNAcentral.